This is a long non-coding RNA of Mytilus trossulus (common blue mussel), 1331 nucleotides long. RefSeq lists it as uncharacterized. Lineage: Eukaryota; Metazoa; Mollusca; Bivalvia; Mytilida; Mytilidae. The transcript has 6 exons. The record is from RefSeq and is a predicted model, not a curated record.
AGACUUAAGAUAUCAUAUAUCUGAACAUUUCUAAUAAAGUUACUUUAACACACUACGGUGUGUAAUAAAGACUACCUGAUAAAUUAAUUCAUUUAUCUAAAAACGUAUUUAUUUCAGAAUGAGUCUAAUGGUACUAGCAUACAAACGAUGGUUGAUUGUCCCUUACUUAUUUAUUGUAUUCUGUGUUUGGAUAAUGUACAUGAAGUUUGGAAAAGAUCAUUCGGAUGUUGUUAUACCUGGUAAUAAAACAGGACCACAUUGAAAAAGGCAAACGGUAGGAGAAAACUGAAUGAACGGAAAACUCAGCUACGUAAACAAAGAAAGGGAACGAAAGGAUCAUCUAGAGAGAUCUUUCCUUGGAUGAAGCAAUUGUUUUGCCAAAAUAAGAAAUUGCUAAAUGCAUGGUUCACUGAUUUUGCAAAAAAGAAAAACAACAAACGAAGAUUUACAUAUGCAAAUGUUAGCUGCAUGAUACCCUGUCUCAGUCAUCUAAUGCGUAUAUGAUUUAGAGAGAGAGAGAAAAAUCGAACUAAUAGAAUUGAUCCUGCAUGUACGACAGUGAGAAUAAAAUUUAUGUUCACUUUAUUUACUGGUCGAAAAUCCUCUUUGUACAUGAGUGAGAUUUUAAGCCGACGUUGGAUGAUAUUGCCAUUUCUGUUCCUGAUAUUGUUUGUGUGGCUGGCGUACAUGUAUUUCGGAAAGGAAAGGGGGCAAAACGAAUUGUCAGCUACCGAGAAUCCUUUCAAGCCUUUAAUUGAUUUUUUUAAGAAGCUUUAUAAAGGUUUAGCUUAAUGGCAUUUCAAAAUGAUCAUCGCCUUGACAAUUUUAAAAUUGAAACACAUGCUCGGACAACAUAGCUUACAUAUGAGGUUCUCAUUGAGACAAACUAUGCAGGAACUUAGAAGGGAUUUGCACUUGGCAAUUCAGUGGACUUAUGUUUACCAAAAGCGGAAGUCGUCUCUUUCACCGAGAAGAAGAUGGAAACAAUUAUAUAUAUAUUUAUUUUUAUACAACCAUGAGUAUACCGUGUUUGCCCCUCCACACUGAGGAGAGUUCAAGUGCUACCAUUGGUCAACAAUAAUGUAUGACUUUAAUCAAUCGAUAGAUGGCGCAACAUUGUUCUCACAAAUGUUGGCUUAACCUGCCAAGGGUGGGGUUAAGGGCAGUGGAUCGUUACCAAUUUCUAGCGAAGAUGACAAACGUGACAAUUGCAAUUAUUGAUAAUAAUUUAAUGCAUUUUUUUUCUGUAUAUUUUGAUUACUUAUGAAAUUAAGUAUUUAUACAAAUAAAACAAUACCUUUUAAUAAAAGACAGUGACGUCAAAUAAUGUA